RNAcentral lists this ribosomal RNA (484 nucleotides) under uncultured bacterium. RNAcentral describes it as "partial 16S ribosomal RNA". It matches the Rfam family "Bacterial small subunit ribosomal RNA", at positions 30 to 507 of the family's 1533-position model. The record is from RNAcentral.
AUUGAACGCUGGCGGCAGGCCUAACACAUGCAAGUCGAGCGGAUGAAGGGAGCUUGCUCCUGGAUUCAGCGGCGGACGGGUGAGUAAUGCCUAGGAAUCUGCCUGGUAGUGGGGGAUAACGUCCGGAAACGGGCGCUAAUACCGCAUACGUCCUGAGGGAGAAAGGGGGGGGUCUUCGGACCUCACGCGAUCAGAUGAGCCUAGGUCGGAUUAGCUAGUUGGUGGGGUAAAGGCCUACCAAGGCGACGAUCCGUAACUGGUGUGAGAGGAGGAUCAGUCACACUGGAGCUGAGACACGGUCCAGACUCCUACGGGAGGCCGCAGUGGGGAAUAUUGGCCGAUGGGGGAAAGCCUGAUCCAGCCAUGCCGCGUGUGUGCAGAAGGUCUUCGGAUUGUAAAGCACUUUACGUUGGGAGGACGGGCAGUAAGUUAAUCCCUUGCUGUUUUGACGUUACCAACAGAAUAAGCACCGGCUAGCUUCGUG